Poecilia reticulata (guppy) is the source of this 1802-nucleotide long non-coding RNA. RefSeq lists it as uncharacterized. The record is from RefSeq and is a predicted model, not a curated record. NCBI's taxonomy places the organism in Eukaryota, Metazoa, Chordata, Actinopteri, Cyprinodontiformes, Poeciliidae.
GGACAUAUGUGGCAUUGCAUUAGUCUGAUCCCCACUGGGCACAAACGCCCACCUGUCCUGUGAGCACGGCAGAAGAGGACGAACAGGCUGGAAGCAGAUCCAGGUGUUCAGCUCUGGUCUGGUUCUGUGACAUGCUGUCAGAGCCUGGAGGCAUUUUGCUGUAGACUUCCUGCUUGCGUUUAGACAAGUCUCAUAUUGCAUGUGGAAUACCUCUGGUACACGGAGGCGUUCAUGGUCGACUCAGUGACUGGUUUCUGUGGUUGACGUCACUGCACCACCAUUACCGUGCUUGCCUAUUGAAAUCCUGUGGUUCACCCUGAUGCAACUUUAGGAGCCCAGUAUUCUUUCUACACAGAAGAGAUGCUCUCCUGGGAACCCUUUUGAACAACAUAUUGCAUCAUUGCCUUUCCCUCCUUGUCAAGAGCUGCAAUAUGAAACAUGCCAAUUGACCUCUGUGGCGUCUAACGAGCAGUUUUGUUUGAAUUUGCUGCAGCAUCUGCCUAGCUGCUACUUUGCAACUUAAGUUUUAGGGAGGCAAGUGCGGAUUCAGUUCCUGACAUCAGAUUUUCCACUGUUGCUUCAUUUUUUUUUUUUUGCCAACUAGAAAAUAAUGUAAAAAUAUGUGUUUUUGUACACUUGCGGUUAGAUUUAUAUGAGCGUUAAACCUGGUGAAGACCAGAUAAUUGCUCUUACACCUUCAACUGGAGGAGAGUAAACUCAUUCAUUCCCAUGACUGCACUGAAGGUGAAAAACAUAAAUUUUUUCCGGAACAAAAUUUAAAACACACUGUAGUUGUUAACGUUGCAGACUUUUCCAAUAUGCUUGUAGGUAAGAGUCGAGACAGAGAUCCCCCAUCCCUGCAGUAAACCUCUGUGAUUUGCAGCAUCAGUGCAUCAAUAGAGCACUAAAGCUGUUCUGGGAUUGCGCUGCCUCGCACUAAAUACACCUUAAAACUAUGUUUUUGUACUUUUUGAAAUGAAAGUAUUAAUGGCUUCUUUUAGGAGAGAUGCUCUGUCCUACGUAGGGACUGUUUCACGGCAAGAUGUGGCAGAAACUCUGCGAACUGUAGGUUUUAGCCUCAAACGAAGGGAGCAGAUUGUGAAGCUUUGGGUUAGUCACUGGCCACUUUAUUAGGCAUGCCUAUUACAUUGCUGCUUAGUGGAGACAGUGAGUUAGUAAAUCACAUGGUGCAAUUCAGUGCGUUAAGGCAUCCAGACUUGGAGAAAGCAAGCUUUAGAAUGGAGAGGAAAGGAGACUUAAGCGACUUUGAAAAGUGUGUCGUCAAUAGUCAGACUGGUGUGAGCAUUUCAGAAACUGAUACUGAGAUUUUUAUGCACAUCUGGUUAUCUGGUGUACGGAGAAUGUUCUGAAGAUGAGAAAAUCUCCAGUGAGAGGCCGUUUGUGUGACUGAAAAUACCUCAUUGAUGUCAGAAGACAACGGACCGGAUGGUUCGAGACGAUACUGGAACCUCAAUACCAAUGUGUUUCUUUUCCUGUAAAGCAAAACAGUAGACAAAGUAAAAUCUCUAAAACUGUUGAUGUGCUUUUAAUCAAGUAUUGAUUACCUUGGUUUUAUUUGGUGCCGCUAAUUGGCAGAACUUGCAGCGUAGAGAAAGCCCCUGGUAUGCGUAGUUAAAUUUCUGUUUCUGGUAAUCCCUCAGGGAAUCGGCAGCGGUGAUGCGAUCAUUUCGAUGUGAACCCUGUUUCUGACACUUUGGUGAAUGGAAAGGAAUAAUGCAGUCCUAAAGGAAAAAGAUGUUUCAACUCCAGACAACCAACAUGAACCUAGUAAAGAGGUCAGU